CCCAAACUGGGAUUAGAUACCCCACUAUGCUUAGCCCUAAACCUAGAUAGUUAGCUCAAACAAAACUAUCCGCCAGAGAACUACUAGCAACAGCUUAAAACUCAAAGGACUUGGCGGUGCUUUAUAUCCCUCUAGAGGAGCCUGUUCUAUAAUCGAUAAACCCCGAUAAACCUCACCAUCUCUUGCUAAUUCAGCCUAUAUACCGCCAUCUUCAGCA
This 217-nucleotide ribosomal RNA is filed under the name Panthera onca (jaguar). RNAcentral's name for it is "partial 12S ribosomal RNA". It matches the Rfam family "Bacterial small subunit ribosomal RNA", at positions 766 to 1060 of the family's 1533-position model. Lineage: Eukaryota; Metazoa; Chordata; Mammalia; Carnivora; Felidae. The record is from RNAcentral.